GAAUAAUUAACAGUAAGUAUGAGGACGGAAGGUGCAAGAAAAAUAUGCCCCGUUAAAGUUGAGUUUAGAGAGGCUAGCAACCGUCUGCAAUAAAUUUAACAUCAAGCCAUGAUAGGGGAGCAAAUAGACCUAUCAAGAGUGGUGUCAUUAAGAAACAAACCAAAAUACUCCCACCAUCCCACAAAGAUUGUUCGUUUAACCUUUAAAACUUAUUCCACAAAGAAUGUCCAUAUAAUUUUUAGACAAUCCAACAACAAACCAAAAUACUCCCACCAUCCCACAAAGAUUGUUCGUUUAACCUUUAAAACUUAUUCCACAAAGAAUGUCCAUAUAAUUUUCAGACAAUCCAACAAAGCCCCUCAUAAUACCUUCUGGCCCAAUUAACGAAUCGAUCAUUUACUUCCACCAUCGAUA
This 414-nucleotide long non-coding RNA is filed under the name Setaria viridis. RNAcentral's name for it is "long non-coding RNA (SVIR_LNC002218)". Lineage: Eukaryota; Viridiplantae; Streptophyta; Magnoliopsida; Poales; Poaceae. The record is from RNAcentral.